GAGACACCCUUAUGGGGCAGGAUUUGCUUCAAUGGGGCUUUGGUGCUCACUGAGUCUGCCCCCCUGAGUUUGUCUCU
Molecule: microRNA precursor, 77 nt
Filed under: Myotis lucifugus (little brown bat)
Lineage: Eukaryota; Metazoa; Chordata; Mammalia; Chiroptera; Vespertilionidae
Description: mir-9229 microRNA precursor family
Rfam family: mir-9229 microRNA precursor family
Source: Rfam by way of RNAcentral